AAAAUAUUUAUAGCAGAUUGUGUAAGCCACAACCAGAACCCAAAAGAUUUGCGACUGCCUCGCUUAUUCUAAUCGAUUACAUUUAGCAAAUCUAAGUAAAGAAUGUGCAUCCUCUCUAUAGCUCUCUUUGCACCAAAAAUAAAAUAAUAAAAAACAAUUAAGCCUAAUUUUCUGGUAAGAGCUAGGCUUAUCUUCAAAAACUCUGGCAUUAUUUUCCUUCCAUAUGACCCACCAGAUACAAGCAGGAACUACUCUCCACCAUUUCUUCCGUUCAAUAUUUUCCCCUCCAUUGUUCCAGUUACGGAGAAGAGAUAUAGUGUUAUUGGGCAUUGUCCAGCAUAUUCCAUCCAAAUUGAGAUAGAAAUGCCAAAGUUGAAUAGUGACUGGGCAGUGUAUAAAGAGAUGGGAAACUGACUCCUCAUCUUUGCCACAUAGGCUACACCUAGCAUGUAGCUGAAUUUCUCUCCUAAUAAGAUUGUCCUGAGUUAACACAGCUUCCCUUGCUACUAAUUAACCAUGUGAAGCAUAAGACUUUUGUGGGCGCGCUGACCUCCAAAUUUAUUUCCAUGCCCAUCGUUGAGUAGAAUACGGAGUAUUGUUGAUAAAAUGAUAAGCAGAUUUCACUGAAAAAGAUCCUGAUUUGUGACCUUCCACAUUAAAGCAUCUUCCUCUCCUGUGAGACCUUGGAAAGCUUCUAAGGUCUCCCAGAAAUCUAUCACAUUUUACAACUCCCAGUCAUUGAAGUUCCUUCUGAAAAUAAUGUUCCACCCAUGUGUGGAUUUUGCUUCUGCUACUGAGAUUUUUGGAUUCGCAGCAAUGCUAUAUAAUUCUGAAAAUUGAUCUUUCCGAGAAGUGUGCCCAAGCCAUGUGUCAUACCAGAAGAGAACUCUUCUUCCAUUUCCAACCUGGAAACUAGAUGAUCAGCAAUGAAGCUCCAUUAUCCCCUAAUUGUUUUCUAUACACUAACUCCAUGUGGGGAUGAUACUGGUUUGGUGCACCAAGGACCUCCAUGGCCAUACUUCUCGUCUAUCACCC
This 1035-nucleotide long non-coding RNA is filed under the name Nicotiana benthamiana. Its description in RNAcentral is "long non-coding RNA (NBEN_LNC019248)". The record is from RNAcentral. Lineage: Eukaryota; Viridiplantae; Streptophyta; Magnoliopsida; Solanales; Solanaceae.